Molecule: long non-coding RNA, 316 nt
Organism: Arachis duranensis
Lineage: Eukaryota; Viridiplantae; Streptophyta; Magnoliopsida; Fabales; Fabaceae
Exons: 3
Source: RefSeq, a predicted model, not a curated record
CUUAACAAUUUAUUUGUCUCUAGUGGGUGCUAAUUUUCUAGAAAGUGCAGCCGGAGAGCAUCGAGUUCAAGAACAUCGAGAAAAUGAAGAGCAAGGCAUGCAUAAUAUUCUGAAUGACUAUCUUAUUAUCUGCAGAAGAAUGGGGGUAGAGGCAGAGAAACUGCAUAUUAUUGAUAAGGAUUGCAUUGAAAAAGGGAUUGUAGAACUUAUCUGCAAGCAUAAUAUCAAGAAGCUUAUGAUGGGAGCAGCUUCUGAUAAGUACCAUUCUAGGAGAAUGACAGAUCUCAGGUCUAGGAAAGCCAUUUAUGUGAGAGAA